UGAGGAAUUUUCCGCAAUGGGCGCAAGCCUGACGGAGCGACGCCGCGUGAGGGAUGACGGCCUUCGGGUUGUAAACCUCUUUUAUUAAGGAAAAAGGCAAUCGUGCUAACACCACGGUUGUUUGAUGGUACUUAUUGAAUAAGCCCCGGCUAACUACGUG
This 160-nucleotide ribosomal RNA is filed under the name uncultured bacterium. RNAcentral's name for it is "partial 16S ribosomal RNA". It matches the Rfam family "Bacterial small subunit ribosomal RNA", at positions 355 to 507 of the family's 1533-position model. The record is from RNAcentral.